RNAcentral lists this microRNA precursor (269 nucleotides) under Gossypium raimondii (Peruvian cotton). Its description in RNAcentral is "miR7493b stem-loop (gra-MIR7493b)". Lineage: Eukaryota; Viridiplantae; Streptophyta; Magnoliopsida; Malvales; Malvaceae. The record is from miRBase by way of RNAcentral.
UAUUUUUUUGUACGAUUAACAUUUUAAUGAUUCAACCGCCAUAUUUUACAUUCCAUCCAUAUAGAUCAUGCAUGUAAAACUUUAAAUAUUUUUUUAAUUAUUUAUUUUAUGUAAAAAACUAUUAAUUGUUUAAUAAAUAUUAAUAUACUCUUUUUAAUAUUGAAAUGAUAAAGAUAUCAAAUCGGUCCAAAAAUUGCAUGGGUGACAAGUACAAUUAUAUUGAAAAAUUCAGCGAUUGGAUUGUUAAAAGGUUAAUUGUAAAAAAAAAU